UCGUCGUUCGACGGAGCUCGAAAGGGUGACGUCGGAGGGAGGAAAGUCCGAACUCCGCAGGGCAGUGCGCCGGGUAACGCCCGGUCGGGGUAACCCGAAGGAAAGUGGCACAGAAAAUAUACCGCUUAUGCGGUGGUGACAUCGCGUGAGUAAGGGUGAAAAGGUGCGGUAAGAGCGCACCGCGCCGGUGGCGACAUCGGUGGCAGGCAAAACCCCGCACGGAGCAAGGCCAAAUAGGGGAGUCAGAAUCUGCCGGCGCCGCAAGGAUGCCGGUGGAGGAAUCGAACGGCCCGUUCGACGAACUUCCGGGUAGGCUGCUUGAUCCCGCCAGUAAUGGCGGGGCUAGAGGAAUGAUCGUCACGCCGAAGCUCGCGGCCGCAAGGCCGUAAGCGAAGGCGGACAGGAUUCGGCUUACGCGGCAACAUCAAUC
This 430-nucleotide RNase P RNA is filed under the name Acidobacteriota bacterium. RNAcentral's name for it is "Acidobacteria bacterium (soil metagenome) partial RNase P RNA component class A". It matches the Rfam family "Bacterial RNase P class A". Rfam says of the family: Ribonuclease P (RNase P) is a ubiquitous endoribonuclease, found in archaea, bacteria and eukarya as well as chloroplasts and mitochondria. Its best characterised activity is the generation of mature 5'-ends of tRNAs by cleaving the 5'-leader elements of precursor-tRNAs. Cellular RNase Ps are ribonucleoproteins. Lineage: Bacteria; Pseudomonadati; Acidobacteriota. The record is from RNAcentral.